RNAcentral lists this small RNA (359 nucleotides) under uncultured Redeckera. Its description in RNAcentral is "SSU rRNA". It matches the Rfam family "Eukaryotic small subunit ribosomal RNA", at positions 569 to 932 of the family's 1831-position model. Lineage: Eukaryota; Fungi; Glomeromycota; Glomeromycetes; Diversisporales; Diversisporaceae. The record is from RNAcentral.
AGCAGCCGCGGUAAUUCCAGCUCCAAUAGCGUAUAUUAAAGUUGUUGCAGUUAAAAAGCUCGUAGUUGAACUUCGGGAUUUGUCCAUUGGUCAGGCUUAUCUGUCUGCACUGGUGUGACGAAUUCCUACCUUCUGAGGAAUUCUCAUGCCAUUAAGUUGGUGUGGGGAGGAAUCAGGACUGUUACUUUGAAAAAUUAGAGUGUUUAAAGCAGGCUAACGUCUGAAUACAUUAGCAUGGAAUAACAAUAUAGGACGGCUGGUCCUAUUUUGUUGGUUUCUAGGAUCACCGUAAUGAUUAAUAGGGAUAGUUGGGGGCAUUAGUAUUCAAUUGUCAGAGGUGAAAUUCUUGGAUUUAUUGA